CUAUUGGAGUCCGAUUUAGCCAUGCUAGUCGUACGAGUUCACACUCGUGGCGCAUAGCUCAGUAACACGUGGCCAACCUACCCUUCAGCGGCGGACACCCUCGGGAAACUGAGGCUAAUCCGCCAUACCCCUCUCACGCUGGAACGCCGAGAGGCCGAAACGCUACGGCGCUGAAGGAUGAGGCUGCGGCCGAUUAGGUAGACGGUGGGGUAACGGCCCACCGUGCCCAUAAUCGGUACGGGUCGUGAGAGCGAGAGCCCGGAGACGGAAUCUGAGACAAGAUUCCGGGCCCUACGGGGCGCAGCAGGCGCGAAACCUUUACACUGCACGCCAGUGCGAUAAGGGGACUCCAAGUGCGAGGGCAUAUCGUCCUCGCUAUCCUGUACUGUAGGGUAGUACAGUAUCAAGAGCUGGGCAAGACCGGUGCCAGCCGCCGCGGUAAUACCGGCAGCUCAAGUGAUGGCCGAUCUUAUUGGGCCUAAAGCGUCCGUAGCUGGCCUCGCAAGUCCGUCGGGAAAUCCAUUAGCUCAACUAAUGGGCGUCCGGCGGAAACUACAAGGCUUGGGACCGGAAGGCUCGAGGGGUACGUCCGGGGUAGGAGUGAAAUCCCGUAAUCCCGAACGGACCACCGAUGGCGAAAGCACCUCGAGAAGACGGCUCCGACAGUGAGGGACGAAAGCUAGGGUCUCGAACCGGAUUAGAUACCGGGUAGUCCUAGCCGUAAACGAUGUUCGCUAGGUGUGNCACUGGCUACGAGCCAGUGCUGUGCCGUAGGGAAGCCGAGAAGCGAACCGCCUGGGAAGUACGUCUGCAAGGAUGAAACUUAAAGGAAUUGGCGGGGGAGCACUACAACCGGAGGAGCCUGCGGU
This 869-nucleotide ribosomal RNA is filed under the name uncultured haloarchaeon. Its description in RNAcentral is "bacterial SSU rRNA". It matches the Rfam family "Archaeal small subunit ribosomal RNA", at positions 30 to 901 of the family's 1478-position model. The record is from RNAcentral. Lineage: Archaea; Methanobacteriati; Methanobacteriota; Halobacteria; Halobacteriales; Halobacteriaceae.